This is a non-coding RNA of Pelobates cultripes (western spadefoot toad), 226 nucleotides long. Lineage: Eukaryota; Metazoa; Chordata; Amphibia; Anura; Pelobatidae. The record is from the annotation of a GenBank genome assembly.
CUCACUUUGCAGGUAUCCUAACAUGUAGAGGAUAGGAAACUAUUUCAGUUAUUUACAUGUAGGAUAUGAUUUAGCCUAAGGUAGUAUAUGUGAUAUGCAGAACAUUUAGUAUGAGAAAUAUUACUGUUUCAGUCUGUCCAUUAUCUGCAAACUUCCCAACAUUCACUUUUUCCACCCUUCACGCAAAAUAAUGAGGGAGUGUAUACUCCACACAAUGAAAAUACAU